GACGAACGCUGGCGGCGUGCUUAACACAUGCAAGUCGAACGGUGACGGAGAGCUUGCUCUCCUGAUCAGUGGCGAACGGGUGAGUAACACGUGGGCAACCUGCCCAGACUUCGGGAUAACGCUUCGAAAGAGGUGCUAAUACCGGAUACGAGCUCCUUGGGCAUCCUUGGAGUUGGAAAGUUUUCGGUCUGGGAUGGGCCCGCGGCCUAUCAGCUAGUUGGUGAGGUAACGGCUCACCAAGGCGACGACGGGUAGCCGGCCUGAGAGGGCGACCGGCCACACUGGGACUGAGACACGGCCCAGACUCCUACGGGAGGCAGCAGUGGGGAAUAUUGCGCAAUGGGCGAAAGCCUGACGCAGCAACGCCGCGUGAGGGAUGACGGCC
Molecule: ribosomal RNA, 385 nt
Filed under: uncultured bacterium
Lineage: Bacteria
Description: bacterial SSU rRNA
Rfam family: Bacterial small subunit ribosomal RNA
Source: RNAcentral